UGGGGAAUAUUGGACAAUGGGGGAAACCCUGAUCCAGGGAUACCGUGUGGGUGAUGAAGGUCUUAGGAUUGUAAAACCCUUUCGGCAGCUAAGAUGAUGACUAGCUGCAAAAGAAGCACCGGCUAACUCUGUGCCAGCAGCCGCGGUAAGUCAGGGGGUGCGAGCGUUGUUCGGAAUUAUUGGGCGUAAAGGGUGCGUAGGUGGUUAGGUAAGUCACAGAUGAAAUACCGGGGCUCAACUCCGGUGCUGUUUGUGAUACUGCCUCGACUAGAGAACGGGAGGGGUAAUUGGAAUUCCUAGUGGAGAGGUAAAAUUCUUUGAUAUUAGGAGGAACGCCAAAAGCGAAGGCAAAUUACUAGAACGUUUCUGACACUGAGGCACGAAAGCGUGGGGAGCAAACAG
Molecule: ribosomal RNA, 402 nt
Filed under: uncultured bacterium
Lineage: Bacteria
Description: bacterial SSU rRNA
Rfam family: Bacterial small subunit ribosomal RNA
Source: RNAcentral